CCCUCUCCUCACCCCCUUUCUGGCGAGGAACUGCAGCCCCGACCGCACGCGUUAGUCCCGCCGCCGGCUGCAGAUGCACCGUGCACCAUGCCAAGGCUCGCCCCCAUCACUCCAAGGUUGAGAGAACCGACGUCGCCGCCUCGACCGUCUCCUCUGCGCGCUGUGCACGCAGAUCUCCUUUUGCACGGGCGACGGCAAGCCGGGGAUCGGGGCCCCACUGCAUCUCCUCUCGUGAAUGUUCACGGCGUGGCCUGGAGGCGGCAAUAUUGCGAGCCCAACUGCCGGCGCUCAUGCGACCACCCGUUUUGACCCUGGGGACAGAUCCUUCUUUUCUCCGCUAUGGAAGCCAAAGACUUGUUCAGCUGUGGAGAUUAACGAUGACGAGUAUCUGAAAACAAACGUGGAAAGUACAUGGACAUGAGCAAUUCGUGAUGCCUUUCCAGGUGCUGCUGAAACCAGUAUAUAAUGUACACGAUUGCUGAUAUAAAUUGCCAUUUGUAUCUCUAUUUAUUACUCAUUAUCAAUUUUCGAAAUUUAUUUCUGUCAAUUAGUUUACUUAGAUUACUGAUUCUUUAAUUUAGAACUAAUUUCCUUCAGUUCAGAACUUCUCUUUUCUUUCAAGAGGAGAAAUGCUAUAAUUUAAAUACAUAGAUUCUGAAGAUGAGCGAAUAUCAGUACUGCAGUUAUCUCGAGGGAUCAAGGUCAUAUGCUGGUACUUCUGCAGUGGAUAUCGCCACUUCUGAUUUCUUAGUGAAUACUCUUCAUCAUAUUUCCAUCGGUUACGUGGUAUGCAGCUUGUUUUUGAGCUAAGAAGUUUGUGAGUAUUAUUUCUUGAAGCAUCAAUUUAAAGAUAAACUAAACCUGUCGGCUACCAUGAGAAUUCUCACUGUAUUCAUCGCGACCAGGUACGCCUCUCCUCUCGCUCCCCCUCUUCCCCUCCCUAUCCUUCAUCAAUGACUUUUCCCUUUCCUUCCUCAAUUCUGUAUUCUGCAGAAAUUCAAGAUGUGCUUGAUGGAUUUCUUACCUUUCCAAAAGGUCUCCUUGAACGCAAAGGCAGCUUACCCUGAGUUCUUUCUGCAUCGAACACAUGAGUUGGAAACUGACCGGUCAUAGAGUUCAUCAGCAGUAAUCUCUUAGUCUUCUAUUCUGUCAAGUAUUAAUGGUCAAAUGAAAUAAGGUGUGAGCUUUGUGUGUGUGCUUAUAUGCUAAGUUGCGGAUCCGGCAGACUAAUCUCUUAGUGCUCUUUAAGUUUCUAAAACUGCUUGUCCGUUUGGGUACUAAUGUUGGGCUCCAUUGGCAUAUACUGCCUUACAUGUACAAAACAGCCAAAGCAAGUUGCCUCCACAUGCAGCUCAUGCCUUCUACAGUUGUUCAAAAUCAUAUAGCUAUAGCCAUAUGUAGGUUUUUUCCAUGGCAGUUAACUGAAAAUUAUGGAUGUGGUUUUGAUCUCUGCAUGCUGCUAUUUCCCGUGUCUAGGCAAAAGAGAUAAGUGCAGAAGCAUAAGCUAGGAUGCAUGCGCUUUUUUUUUUUUGAUGUUGCUAUUGACAUGAAGGUAUUAUCAAGUUUUUGCAACAGUAGUCCAUUUAGAUCACCUUCCAGAACAUAGAACAAAAUACAGCAUGUUGUUUGCAACUUGUCAGGGGAAAUAUACAGAUUAAGUGAUUAACUUUUAACCUAUACCCUAUAUUGUUAACUUAACAUAAACAGCGUCACCUCUCAUCUAGGUCGGUUUUGGGGUAUGAACAGGGUGAGGUUUCAUAAUUAUGCGCUUAAUUCAGAUUUGUGUAUCUCUCAAGUUUGUGUUCAAAUAAAUGGAUAUUUAGAACCGCCCUAGGUGUCACGGUAUUGAGAUAAUUGAUUGCAUAGCAUGUAAGCAACUUUAUGUUUUCUACUAACCCAAAUAUUUAGAGUUAGAGCAGUAAUUUAGUAACUUGAUGUGGUGUGUGUGUUCGCUUGUGCUAAAGCAUCUCACAUCAUGCUGACUUUUUCUUAAUCUUUGCUUCAUAUGGUUCUCUUUUUGAAACUGCAAAGCCUACUCCGAAUAUGUAUUAAAGGUGGAAGAAUGUACUGGAUGGUCUAGGAAAAAUAAUCCAUACCUUAUCUCAUGUUGAUCUACUUUAGAGAAGGAAAACACACUUAGCUAGAAAUAUGCCCCUCUGUUCUGGUAGGAAAAUGUAAAAUGUUAUUUUCUCGGUUCCAUAAUUCUUGUCGUGGUUUUAGGUAAAAUUUGAACUACAACCACGACAAGAUUAUGUAACGGAGGGAGUAGAUGUUUUACACAGUAUUUGAGCAAGAUUUUUUUACAUAUAUCAUCAUUUUGUAUGUACCUAAAUCACUUUGAAUGGACAUAUGGAGAAGAGUGUUGGAUCUCUUCAUAAAUCAGAACCCGAGGAGUUCAAUUGUGUGGAGCUAUUGGCGAAGCUGGUUUCUCCGUUCUUGUUGCCAAAGGCUGCCCCGUCCUACAAUCCCAACUACUGCCACUUUAAUCUUACCAUGCCUGCCUCCCUAAUCAUUAGCUCAAGUGGCCCAUCUAUUCAUUGAUUUUCUUGGAUAUAUUUGGUAGAAUGGAGAUGUUUGCUUCAGUUCAUAGUGGCUUGAUUUUUGCGAAACAUGAUUGUUAAGAUGGCAAAUAUUCUGAUAUGCAUCUUCAAUUACAAAUGGUGAUCCAUACACCACUCUGAGAAAAGAUAUCUGAUGUUGAUGACAAGCAUCAACAAAAGGGCGGAGCAGAAGGGAUGGUAGGAUGACGACAAGCGGGCGAACUAUGUCACUGUGCAAUUAGAAAUCAACUAAAGCAUGUAUAUACUUUUUUUCCACGCACAAACACUUCGUAACUACCUAUAAGUGAAAUCUUCAAGCGAAUUGUAAUAUAAUUAUCUAUAAAAUAGUAUUAGUUUUUUUGUACAUGUGAUUGUUCAUGCAAAAGAGGAGUAAUCGUGGCAACGCACGGGCAUUCA
This is a long non-coding RNA of Lolium rigidum, 2957 nucleotides long. RefSeq lists it as uncharacterized. The transcript is spliced from 5 exons. Lineage: Eukaryota; Viridiplantae; Streptophyta; Magnoliopsida; Poales; Poaceae. The record is from RefSeq and is a predicted model, not a curated record.